AUUCCAGCUCCAAUAGCGUAUAUUAAAGUUGUUGCGGUAAAAAAGCUCGUAGUUGGAUUUCUGUUGCGAAUGGCCGGUCUUCACUACGUGAAUGUAUCUGGUUCAAUCGUGGCAUCCUCAUAGGAAACGUUGCUGCGCUUCACUGCGUGGUGCGGUGCCUAUGACUUUUACUUUGAGGAAAUUAGAGUGUUCACGGCAGGCAAUCGCCCUGAAUAUGUUAGCAUGGGAUAAUAAUAUAGGAUCUUGGUUCUAUUUUGUUGGUUUCUAGAGCUAAGAUAAUGGUUAAUAGGAACAAUUGGGGGCAUUUGUAUUAACAUGUCAGAGGUGGAAUUCUUGGAUUAUGUUACGACAAACUACUGCGAAAGCAUUUGCCAAGGAUGUUUUCAUUG
This 389-nucleotide ribosomal RNA is filed under the name Syndiniales sp. RNAcentral describes it as "partial small subunit ribosomal RNA". It matches the Rfam family "Eukaryotic small subunit ribosomal RNA", at positions 582 to 975 of the family's 1831-position model. Lineage: Eukaryota; Dinophyceae; Syndiniales. The record is from RNAcentral.